GAUGAACGCUGGCGGCGUGCCUAAUACAUGCAAGUCGAGCGAACAGACGAGGAGCUGCUCCUCUGACGUUAGCGGCGGACGGGUGAGUAACACGUGGAUAACCUACCUAUAAGACUGGGAUAACUUCGGGAAACCGGAGCUAAUACCGGAUAAUAUAUUGAACCGCAUGGUUCAAUAGUGAAAGACGGUUUUGCUGUCACUUAUAGAUGGAUCCGCGCCGCAUUAGCUAGUUGGUAAGGUAACGGCUUACCAAGGCGACGAUGCGUAGCCGACCUGAGAGGGUGAUCGGCCACACUGGAACUGAGACACGGUCCAGACUCCUACGGGAGGCAGCAGUAGGGAAUCUUCCGCAAUGGGCGAAAGCCUGACGGAGCAACGCCGCGUGAGUGAUGAAGGUCUUCGGAUCGUAAAACUCUGUUAUUAGGGAAGAACAAAUGUGUAAGUAACUAUGCACGUCUUGACGGUACCUAAUCAGAAAGCCACGGCUAACUACGUG
This 496-nucleotide ribosomal RNA is filed under the name uncultured bacterium. RNAcentral's name for it is "partial 16S ribosomal RNA". It matches the Rfam family "Bacterial small subunit ribosomal RNA", at positions 28 to 507 of the family's 1533-position model. The record is from RNAcentral.